Long non-coding RNA from Solea solea (common sole), 779 nucleotides. RefSeq lists it as uncharacterized. The transcript has 3 exons. The record is from RefSeq and is a predicted model, not a curated record. Lineage: Eukaryota; Metazoa; Chordata; Actinopteri; Pleuronectiformes; Soleidae.
CUCAGUCCAAGUUUAUAAUCCACCCACUGUGUGGCGGCUUUGUGCUUUCCCUCAAAGCACUCACACAAUGUAAACACAGCGUUUAAAAGGGAGAUCUUUUUUUUAAUCUACAGUCUAAAACAAAGGGAGCACAGGAAAUGGACUCCAUCUUGAGGAAGAAAACAAACAGACGGCCUGUCAGUCAAGCUCAUAUGGCACGGCGAUGUCAUGAAGGACGAGAUGUGGGUACCGAGGAGUCGUGGGGCCCCAUGCGCGUUCCCGGGUACCAGCACCAGUAGCUGGGAACACAUGGCGAGUGAACGUGCAGUCGUAAUUGAUGGAGCAGUGAAUCAGCCUGGCUUCUGGGUAGCCUCACCACAACCGCUCCAAGAGUCUUUGUGACUCUCGGAAAGCCUCAUCCCCAGUGCCCCCCCCCCCCUCAGAGGUUCACGUACAGGACUCGCGGAGACCAUCAAAGAAGAUGUGUUUGACUGAGCGACCUCCCGGUAACAAGUAUACCAACUUGUAACCUUUUCCAUGGACAAACGACGAAGGACCAUAAAAACACUCCCAGGAAUUCAAUGGGGGAAGUUAAAGGUCCAUUUGUGCUUUUGUUGUCCCACCCCCCACCACCUCUCAAGAGCCACAUUAGACAAAGAUUAGGCAAAUUGGCCCAAUAACAAAUUGUUUGAGAUGUUAUUUUGAGUUGCUGUGCUUUUGUCUGGAAUUGACUGUUGUUGCGGGCGUGAGGUGUUUCACUUAGUGUUGAAAAGAGCGGUGCAGAUGUGCACUGCAGUUUG